GCGGAGACAAAAAAAGUACUUUUUAUUUUAUCACAAGGGUAAAGAAAUAUUUUUGCCUUUUUGGACCCGCUGGCUCGGCUUCUCGAUCCUUCCACUAAUUGGCUUCUUAUUAGUCCUCGCCUGGUCUCUUCUACUACAACAAUCAACGAUCAACUCUCUCUGCGAUCUGAGCCGUUGUCUGCUUCUUCGACGUUUAAGGUGAGUUUCCUCUUGCAUCCCUCUUCUCUUUCUGAUUUUCUUUCCUCAUUUUAAGAAAAAAAGAGUUGUAAAAUUAUUUACUGAUGGAUCAUUAUUGUGUGAAGUACCAGGAUUUCUAUCUUACCGGUCUUGUUUCAGCAUCUGGAUAAUCAACAAUGACUCAUAUCCUUGGAUCGAUCUGUUUGUUUCCUCUCCUCUGCAAAUUUAUUUUUUAAUUUAAUUUAAUUUAAUUUAAUCCCCACUCCAUGCACUCCACGUGUCCCUGCAUGUGGAAACAAGGCAAGCAAAUGACAAUCUUGGGGAGCUGGCUAACCUGGUCUGUAUGUUACAGAAUCUGUCCUCAUCCCUGUUCAUAAUAGGCAAAAUU
This 565-nucleotide long non-coding RNA is filed under the name Citrus maxima (pomelo). Its description in RNAcentral is "long non-coding RNA (CMAX_LNC002541)". Lineage: Eukaryota; Viridiplantae; Streptophyta; Magnoliopsida; Sapindales; Rutaceae. The record is from RNAcentral.